GACGAACGCUGGCGGCGUGCUUAACACAUGCAAGUCGAACGGAAAGGCCCUGCUUUUGUGGGGUGCUCGAGUGGCGAACGGGUGAGUAACACGUGAGUAACCUGCCCUUGACUUUGGGAUAACUUCAGGAAACUGGGGCUAAUACCGGAUAGGAGCUCCUGCUGCAUGGUGGGGGUUGGAAAGUUUCGGCGGUUGGGGAUGGACUCGCGGCUUAUCAGCUUGUUGGUGGGGUAGUGGCUUACCAAGGCUUUGACGGGUAGCCGGCCUGAGAGGGUGACCGGCCACAUUGGGACUGAGAUACGGCCCAGACUCCUACGGGAGGCAGCAGUGGGGAAUAUUGCACAAUGGGCGGAAGCCUGAUGCAGCAACGCCGCGUGCGGGAUGACGGCCUUCGGGUUGUAAACCGCUUUCGCCUGUGACGAAGCGUGAGUGAAGGUAAUGGGUAAAGAAGCACCGGCUAACUACG
This 466-nucleotide ribosomal RNA is filed under the name uncultured bacterium. RNAcentral describes it as "partial 16S ribosomal RNA". It matches the Rfam family "Bacterial small subunit ribosomal RNA", at positions 28 to 505 of the family's 1533-position model. The record is from RNAcentral.